Platichthys flesus (European flounder) is the source of this 1833-nucleotide long non-coding RNA. RefSeq lists it as uncharacterized. Lineage: Eukaryota; Metazoa; Chordata; Actinopteri; Pleuronectiformes; Pleuronectidae. The record is from RefSeq and is a predicted model, not a curated record. The transcript is spliced from 2 exons.
UGAAGGCUACAGCCAAUUAUAUCAUUUUUCAGGGUUAACCUCAUAUUUUGUGUGUAAUCUGUAAAGCUUGUAGAAACAAUAGCUUGUAGCCGUAUUAGCUUGUUUGCUUACUCAAUAAAUCCAACUGUCAUAUCGGUUUUGUUCGUUGAAACAGUUUUGAUGAACUAAGAAAGCAACGUUAAAUGAAACCAUCAGAAUCGAACCCUCACGGUGGCCCCUUCACGUACGAGCUGCAGUUAAACACAUCAUCAGUCGUUUAUAUUCAUAAUCAUCACAGUGAAACAAGGGUUGAGUUGCUACUUGUUAAGUUCUCACUUCCAACCACGUUAUCACUCAUGAGAGGAAAAGGGUGGGUGCAUUUUUCCUAAUGCCCAUCCUGUGCAAUCAUUUUAAUGGCCUUUGUUCUGCAACAAGCUGAAAACUGUUAAACAUGAUGAUAUAAUUUUUCCAAAUUUCGUUUAAUCACACGCUGAGACGCUCUCCGGGCGAUGAUGUGUUAAACUCCACCUCGUACGUGGAGGGCCACAGUGAGGCUGGGAUUCUGAUGGUUUCAUUUUGGAUCACUUUCCCAGUUUGUAAAUUUCCAGGAUUGUUUUUUCUAGGGUUGGAUUCUAAUUAUUCCUUUUUUUGUCUCCUGUCUUUCAUUUCAUAAGCAAAGAGCAAGUUUAGAUUAGAAAACAUUCAAUGUCAUUGUCAAUUAUAAACUGAAAAUAGUAACUUAAGGUCAUUUAUAUUAUUUAUAAAUGUUUGAUACCGAUAAACUCAACAAGGAGUUAGAAAGGAUUUUACACGUGUUCCAACCCGUGUCCAAACAAGUUCACUUAUUUCAUUACAGAGAAAUCAAUAACGUUAGCUUGUGCUGAGUUAGCGCCUGGAGCGCUGCGUACCAAGUGGGUUCUGUCACUGCAGUAGGAGACUGAAAAUACUGUUUGCAUUAAACUUUAAUCUACCUCUAAUUUACCUCUAUACGCUCACUCCUCAGCUCAACUUGUCAGAUUCGCCUGCGGGGCAUCGCGCCGCUAAACGAGGAGUGAAGUCAGAGUCUGAAAACAUCUCAUCUGUGGAUCCCACAACAGAGUGUGCGGGGAGAUGAAGACACUCGACAGAGACAGGGAGUGUGGAGUCGGGACAAGGAGGCCCUGCAGUCACAAACAUGGAGACGCACCGAGGGGAACCGAACAAGGUAUAAACUUGUAAAGCUGCCUGUCAGGGAGAAGCAGGAGCGUCAGACGGGGAAGCUCGGUGUCGGGCUGCCUGAGGUGGACACAGCUUGUUUGAAUGGGAGUCGUGAGGGACUGUGAAUGAACCACAACUCAAACAGCACAUUGUUCCCUGACACUGCUCAUUAGUGGCUGCUUGUUGGCACCGCUGCUCGGAUUCUCUGCAGUUAUGCAUCCUAUGCAAAUCAUAACUCGUAAUGGAUUGUCUGGAAUCUACGACUGGAAUCUUCGAACAGAUGUAUUAAAAAAAACAAAAAAAAAAACUGCUGUUGACUUUUUGAACCCGUUAGCGCAGAGUCCCGGCUGAUAGACGCUACAGAGGCAGAGCGGGUUUAUAAACUCAUUACCCUCUCAGCUGCAGGUUCCCGCCUUUAUCAAUCUAAUAGUUUUAUGUAUUUUUGCUUUUACAUUUUACAUUUUCACCCAAGCAAAGAGCCAUGUGGUUUCAUGUCAAUACUUAUUUUUUUCCAGGCUGAAUUGUAUGAAAACUGGCUUCAAACUUCAGGUCAGAUCUUGUUAUACAUGUAUUAUUAUAUUUCUCAAUUUGAUAUAUUAGAAAUUGUAUAUUGUAUUUUGUAUUUUGUACAAGUAAUGAAAUUCAAAUUUCAAAGAU